AUAUAUUUAUGUUUAUUUAUUUAAUUUUAAAUCAAUGGUAUUAGGGAUAUUUUACUCUUUAAUGAAUGUCAUUUUUGUGACUUUCUCCUUCUAGUACUAUUUUUGAGACAUAAACUUCAAAAGGUGCUAUUAUUGAGAAUUGCCCAAUAUAAUAAGUAUCAAAAAGUUUUUAAACCGAGUUAUUAUUAUGUUUUUUUAAUUAGUUUGAUUUUUCUGAGAUGAAAAGAUGUUUAAACUUUGAAAACUAUUUAAAAAUCGUAAAGGAGUUCGAUAGAUAACUCGGUUUACCUCCUAAGCUUAUUUGAAUCUCUAGCUAGCUAUAACUUUGAAGCUAUAUUUUAGCUAUACAUAAUUGGACUCCUACUAUGCAUUGAACCGUAAUUGAAGACUACAACAAUAUAAAAUUAAUUACAUUGAUCUUGUAGAGCGAGAUGAGUUCAAACAAUAAGCAAUUUUUGUGGGUUGCAUUGUGCAUGUAAUUGUAAACUAGUUGUUUAUAGUUUUUGCCAAAUAAAUACUAAAUAUUGCAUGAAAUCGCUGAAUGUUUUCAUAUCCCAUGCGGGUUAAAAAUUAGUGUAAAUAAUCUAUUAAUCAUAUGAAAUCUAGACAUAAUAUCAAGUUGUAAUAUUAUGUCUAGAAUCCACUUUACAUUGUCUAUACUAGUAAGAGACAUGGUGUGCAUAUAAUAUAAUUGCUUCUUCUUUUGUUGUCUUUUUGCUCUUUUUUGUCCGGAAAAUAAAAUGUUUCCGUAUGUUCUCCUAACCUGGUUCGUUGUAUGUAUACAUAAUGUUUUCUGGGUCCAAAAGCUUUUUUCCUUUAAUAAAUUUUCUCUACAACUUUGGGAUAUAAUAUAAUAUAUACUAGAAAAAAUAUCAAGCAAAAAAAAGUUUGGGACAUCAGCUUAUAUGCUUCAGAUUACAAGGAUCCUAGACUCCAGAGUCGGAACAGAUCCUCAGAUUUCCGGUACCUAUUCAAAAUGAAAAUAUUUAAAAUUAUUUGAUAUGUUUUUACAAAUUUUACAAGUAUUUUUGUUUUAAAAAGUCAUAAUUUUAUAGUAUAAAAUUCAUUCACAUCUAUCCUAACAAGAUAAAAUUCACAUAAUAUUUUACAAUUAUUUUUCUUAAACUAAAUUUUAUAUUCACUUUGUUAUUUUACAUUUCAAAAUUUGUGUCAUUAUAUCAUAAAUACACAUAUUUAUAAUCUACAUAUGAUUUGGGGGGGGGGAGAGAAAAACUUGAUUUUAAAUACAAAACUAUACCAAAACUUGAAUCAAAUGCAAAACUAAUCUAAAAGCUUUGUGAAAUUACAGUCAACUCCUUGUGACUAAAAAAACAGAACUUAUUUUUACGAAUAUAGCCCUAAAAAGUCAUCUGAGUCUUCUGAGAUACUGUAAGUCGUCUGAUGUAGUUGAUUUUAAAAAUAAUUUUUAAUUUUUAAAAACAAAUAUUUUGACAAGUGAAAAAUUAAAAUUAUGUAAUUAUAAACAGUUUUAAGUAAUAUAAAUUAAGAUAUAAUAAAAUUGAAUAGUUUUCAACAUAGAUGAGUGAAAGUAGUUAAUCAUGAUAUUCUUUGGCUUAUGGUUUGACAACAUAUGUUGUAAUAUUGUAUGUAUUCUUAGGGUUAGAUUUUAGAAAGCUUAAAUGUUUUUUUGAAAAAUUAAAAUUUUACCUAUAUGUGUUCAUUUAUGUGUAUAGUAAACAAUUUAUAAGUUUAAUUUAAUUUUUAUGAAGAGUUUAGUUAGUUAAUUUAGUUUAGGGGUUAUGUUUAGGGUCUUUACGACUAACAUAUAAGUCGUCUGGCGAUUAGAAGACUUCUCUGAAAGUCUUCUAACUCCCACUAAAAAUAUUUUAGUUUUCCGCUAAAAAUAUUGAAGUCUUUUGGGCGACUUACAAGUUAUUCGUCUCCAUAUAUAAAGAAAAAUUUACACAUUCUCUCUCCUCCUCUCAAAUGACUGCAACAAAACUGGUAUAUUCCUCAUUCUAAAACUCUUCAACCUCUCUCUAAUCUUUUUAACUUCUAAACACCAAACUUUAUAUCAAUUUAUUGUUUUUGUCUCAUGUCUUUCUCACUAGUUUAUCUUGUUUUGCAGGUUUUUCAUCACAUGGUUCUCAUCUUCCACUCAUUUAAAGGUAGAUCUAUUAGUUUUAGAUAUGUAUUUUUGUGUGUUCUAUAAAGGUAGAUCUAUAUCUUAUAUUCCACUCUUUUUCUCUGUUUUUAAGCCAUUUGAACGUUUUUGGAUAUGCAAGUUUUUCAGAUAUGAAUUUGGAUAUGCAGGUUUUUCAGAUCUGGAAGACUUCUGGGACGACUUACCUGUUAGUCGUCUAAAAUAUAAUGCGCUAGAAGACUUCAAGGACGACUUACCUGGAAGUCUUCUGACGAAGUCUUCUCACAUGUCUCCCUUUCAUAACAUAUUUGAGCGUUUUGGUUUUUAACUAAAUGGUUCUCAUCUUCCACUUGGAUAUGUACUUUAUGUGUUCUAUAAAAGUAUAUCUAUAUAAUCUUCCACUCAUUUUCUCUGUUUUUAAGUCAUUUGAAUAUUUUUUGAUAUGCAGGUUUUUCAAAUCUAGAACAGACUUAAGAUUUAUGGGAAGUCUUCUAAAAUAUAAUGCGUUAGAAGACUAUCUGAAAGUCUUCUAGUGCAUUAUAUUUUAGAAGACUUUCGAGAAGACUUCCCAUAAGUCUUCCAAAGUCUUCUAAAAUAUAAUGUGCUACUUCUAACGGAGUCUUCUUCCAUAUCAAGUGGAGUCCAAGCUUAUCUUUGUAAAGGAUUGAUCUAUAAUAGUUUUGUUUCUGGUCUGUUUUGUGAUUUGCAUGUGUACUCCUUUAGUUGUGAUUUGUUUUGUAAAGUUGAAGAGAUAUUAAUAAAAAAUUUGGUAAAUAUGUUCAUAUUCCACAAUAUUCCACUCAUAGCAAAACACAUGACUGAUUCAUAUAACAAUAAUGAUAUUUAAGUCAUUGAUACAACAUAUUAAGAAUCAUUUAACCAUUCUACUCUCUCAUAGCAAAAAAUAUCAUUGAUGCAUAUAACAAUAAUGAUAAGUCAUUGAUACAAAAUUUUAAGAAACUAAGUAUUUUACCCACUCAUAGCAAUAAUCAUCAUUGGUGCACACGUAAGAGAUAGAAACAAAAUUAGAAAGGAUUGAGACUCUGCAGAUAUGCUUUCCGGACUUCAAGAUCACCUAUGUUCCACGAGCGCAAAAUCAGAUUUCACACUCUCUAGCUAGGACUGCCAGGUCUUUUCAUAGGGAACUUUAUUUUAUUGUUUGUUCUAUUCCGGUUUGGUUACCCAGACCACCUCAAGUUUGAGUAAUAGAAAAGCCGUUUGUUGUAAAAAAAACUAUGGAAACAAACAAUAGUAACUAGUCAAAACAUAUCACAAUUUUUACAAGUUUGUGUUGAAUAACUUAGUCAAAUUUAGUAAAACUAAGGCAGAAAAUAUGAGUUUUACAUAUCGUGAAGUUACUUAACUCUUAAAAAUACAAGUUUUUCAAAAACUAUAGUAGACGACUUCCACGGAAGUCUUCUCAGAUCAGCUAGAAACUUUAAUAAAAAUGAAUGUUGGUAACCUCAUAAAUAUCACGAAUUAAGUUAUAAAUUUUAUUCAGUAGCUAAAAUAUUGAUUAAUAGACAUGAAUUAACAAGAAAAUGUUAAAAAUUAUUUAUAGUUUUAGAGAGGGUGAACGUGUUAUUUCCCCAUGCGAACUAUCAUAUAGCAUCAAAUGUCCACCGAACUAUUACCUCAUGCUAUAUGCCCAUGAAUUAAACAUUGCAAACGUAUUUCUCCCCGAAUUAAAAGUUAAAAUCUUAUUUCUCCCCAAACCGAUAAUUCAAAAUUAAUUAUACAUGAACUAUGGGUUUAACCGGUUAACAAUUUACCAAAGAAUAUUAACCAGUUAAAACAAACAUAAAUAUAAUUUUAUGGUUUGUGAUUUGUGAUAGCACGACCCAGAUCUGUGAGGGCUGGAUUGUGGUUUGUGCCCUCUGGUCGUGCCUUGUUCUUCUGUCGUUGGAGGCAUGCCGUAUGAAGCUUUCUUUCUUUUAGCGGCGUUAUGGCUAUGAAUAUCCGGUGAGAAAUAGAGACGUAGGUGCAGAUUUCAGUUUCAGAUUCAAAUUCACCGGGGUCUUCUCUCACUUUGCAGCCUGUGUUGAGGAUGCAUGUGGAGUGUUUGAGUCAGUUUUAUCCGGUGGAGUGGAAGUGAGAAGGUUGUGGGGUUAGAUCGUGAUCUUUCUAAAUCCCUUCUCUGAACCGAAGAAGCUCUUAUGUUUCGUAAGCCGUAACUUGUCUUACGCUUUUCUCCUUCUUCUCUUGUCUUUCGACCUGUUGCUUUCUCGUGUUAUAUUGUCGGUGGGGAUGAUGGAGCGAUAGGUGUCUUGCUUAUCCCUCUGUGUUUUAUUUAGGUCAAGUUUCUUAUACUUGCAUGUUUCGGUUCAGUUUUACAUAUGACUGGCAGGCGGUGGUCUUAGUUGACGUGGCAGCUUCUCUAGCAGGUUUAACUCUGGCAUUUUUUUUAAUUUUUUUUUCUAUCUAAUUUUUUCGAUUUAGGUUUGUCGAUUUAAAGUCUAAACUAGAUUUUAAAGUUUGAAAUUUUACGUCUAUAUUAAUCUAACUAUAUAUUUGUGGUUUGGUAAUUAUGUUUUAAAUUUAUAAAAUAAUAUAUUUAAACAUUUUCAUAACAAAUAUCAAUUUCAUAGUAAGUAUUAUUAUAAUUUUAAUUCUUAGUAAUUUAUGAUCCUUUUUAUCACACUUACACAUGUCUUCUAACAAUAUAUCUCAAUAAAAAAUAAUAUUUUUUUGACAAAAUUUAAUAAGGCACAUUAAAAAGAUAAUUAAAAACAAAGUUAUAUAUAAAAUAGUAGAAAUAAGAAGCCAUUAUAUAUCUACAUGUAUUUAUAUAUUAGAAAU
Brassica rapa (field mustard) is the source of this 4903-nucleotide long non-coding RNA. RefSeq lists it as uncharacterized. Lineage: Eukaryota; Viridiplantae; Streptophyta; Magnoliopsida; Brassicales; Brassicaceae. The record is from RefSeq and is a predicted model, not a curated record.